CGCUGGCGGCGUGCCUAAUACAUGCAAGUCGAACGAACUCUGGUAUUGAUUGGUGCUUGCAUCAUGAUUUACAUUUGAGUGAGUGGCGAACUGGUGAGUAACACGUGGGAAACCUGCCCAGAAGCGGGGGAUAACACCUGGAAACAGAUGCUAAUACCGCAUAACAACUUGGACCGCAUGGUCCGAGCUUGAAAGAUGGCUUCGGCUAUCACUUUUGGAUGGUCCCGCGGCGUAUUAGCUAGAUGGUGGGGUAACGGCUCACCAUGGCAAUGAUACGUAGCCGACCUGAGAGGGUAAUCGGCCACAUUGGGACUGAGACACGGCCCAAACUCCUACGGGAGGCAGCAGUAGGGAAUCUUCCACAAUGGACGAAAGUCUGAUGGAGCAACGCCGCGUGAGUGAAGAAGGGUUUCGGCUCGUAAAACUCUGUUGUUAAAGAAGAACAUAUCUGAGAGUAACUGUUCAGGUAUUGACGGUAUUUAACCAGAAAGCCACGGCUAACUACGUGCCAGCAGCCGCGGUAAUACGUAGGUGGCAAGCGUUGUCCGGAUUUAUUGGGCGUAAAGCGAGCGCAGGCGGUUUUUUAAGUCUGAUGUGAAAGCCUUCGGCUCAACCGAAGAAGUGCAUCGGAAACUGGGAAACUUGAGUGCAGAAGAGGACAGUGGAACUCCAUGUGUAGCGGUGAAAUGCGUAGAUAUAUGGAAGAACACCAGUGGCGAAGGCGGCUGUCUGGUCUGUAACUGACGCUGAGGCUCGAAAGUAUGGGUAGCAAACAGGAUUAGAUACCCUGGUAGUCCAUACCGUAAACGAUGAAUGCUAAGUGUUGGAGGGUUUCCGCCCUUCAGUGCUGCAGCUAACGCAUUAAGCAUUCCGCCUGGGGAGUACGGCCGCAAGGCUGAAACUCAAAGGAAUUGACGGGGGCCCGCACAAGCGGUGGAGCAUGUGGUUUAAUUCGAAGCUACGCGAAGAACCUUACCAGGUCUUGACAUACUAUGCAAAUCUAAGAGAUUAGACGUUCCCUUCGGGGACAUGGAUACAGGUGGUGCAUGGUUGUCGUCAGCUCGUGUCGUGAGAUGUUGGGUUAAGUCCCGCAACGAGCGCAACCCUUAUUAUCAGUUGCCAGCAUUAAGUUGGGCACUCUGGUGAGACUGCCGGUGACAAACCGGAGGAAGGUGGGGAUGACGUCAAAUCAUCAUGCCCCUUAUGACCUGGGCUACACACGUGCUACAAUGGAUGGUACAACGAGUUGCGAACUCGCGAGAGUAAGCUAAUCUCUUAAAGCCAUUCUCAGUUCGGAUUGUAGGCUGCAACUCGCCUACAUGAAGUCGGAAUCGCUAGUAAUCGCGGAUCAGCAUGCCGCGGUGAAUACGUUCCCGGGCCUUGUACACACCGCCCGUCACACCAUGAGAGUUUGUAACACCCAAAGUCGGUGGGGUAACCUUUUAGGAACCAGCCGCCUAAGGUGGGACAGAUGAUU
RNAcentral lists this ribosomal RNA (1477 nucleotides) under Lactiplantibacillus plantarum. RNAcentral describes it as "bacterial SSU rRNA". It matches the Rfam family "Bacterial small subunit ribosomal RNA". Lineage: Bacteria; Bacillati; Bacillota; Bacilli; Lactobacillales; Lactobacillaceae. The record is from RNAcentral.